UAUCUCUCCGUACGGGGAAGGAUGAGAAGCUUCGACCAAGGUUCGAUUCGAGCGUCAGCGAGAAAGCGUUGCCGCAGGCAACGACCCGAAGGGUGAGGAGCGCAGCGCUGAGUCAUCCUUCCCCCACCACCA
This 132-nucleotide small RNA is filed under the name Salmonella enterica. RNAcentral's name for it is "RtT sRNA". It matches the Rfam family "RtT RNA". Rfam says of the family: This family represents a bacterial cis-regulatory element known as RtT RNA. The exact function of RtT is unknown although it is thought that it may be involved in changing the cellular response in relation to amino acid starvation. Lineage: Bacteria; Pseudomonadati; Pseudomonadota; Gammaproteobacteria; Enterobacterales; Enterobacteriaceae. The record is from RNAcentral.